Molecule: unclassified non-coding RNA, 291 nt
Filed under: Hevea brasiliensis (rubber tree)
Lineage: Eukaryota; Viridiplantae; Streptophyta; Magnoliopsida; Malpighiales; Euphorbiaceae
Source: RNAcentral
GACGAGAUUCCUGGAACAAAAAGACCAGCUGAGGAGCCUUCGGAAAAAAUACCAGUUCCGGAAGUUCAGAUUCCCGACUUGAUUGAUACAGGUGAUCCAGAUGAUUACACUAGUGAAACUUCUUACAAUAAACAGGCCGAGCAAAGGAGUGACAAACUAACAUCAACUGGUUCUUUGGUUGAUGAUCUGUUUGGAAGUGACCCUAUUGAUGGUCAAAACACCAAAGGAGAUGAUGAUGAACAUGAUCCAUUUGCUGAUGUAUCAUUCCAUGUGAGCCAAGACAAAGAGCAA